AUUUAUAUAGUUUACAUAAAAACAUUAUAUUUUCAUUAUAAAAAUAUGUUUAAUAAUUUAUCAUUAUAAAUA
Molecule: transfer RNA, 72 nt
Filed under: Elaphrothrips spiniceps
Lineage: Eukaryota; Metazoa; Arthropoda; Insecta; Thysanoptera; Phlaeothripidae
Description: tRNA-Glu
Source: RNAcentral